GAUGAACGCUGGCGGCGUGCCUAAUACAUGCAAGUCGAGCGAACAGACGAGGAGCUUGCUCCUCUGACGUUAGCGGCGGACGGGUGAGUAACACGUGGAUAACCUACCUAUAAGACUGGGAUAACUUCGGGAAACCGGAGCUAAUACCGGAUAAUAUAUUGAACCGCAUGGUUCAAUAGUGAAAGACGGUUUUGCUGUCACUUAUAGAUGGAUCCGCGCCGCAUUAGCUAGUUGGUAAGGUAACGGCUUACCAAGGCGACGAUGCGUAGCCGACCUGAGAGGGUGGUCGGCCACACUGGAACUGAGACACGGUCCAGACUCCUACGGGAGGCAGCAGUAGGGAAUCUUCCGCAAUGGGCGAAAGCCUGACGGAGCAACGCCGCGUGAGUGAUGAAGGUCUUCGGAUCGUAAAACUCUGUUAUUAGGGAAGAACAAAUGUGUAAGUAACUAUGCACGUCUUGACGGUACCUAAUCAGAAAGCCACGGCUAACUCCGUG
RNAcentral lists this ribosomal RNA (497 nucleotides) under uncultured bacterium. RNAcentral describes it as "partial 16S ribosomal RNA". It matches the Rfam family "Bacterial small subunit ribosomal RNA", at positions 28 to 507 of the family's 1533-position model. The record is from RNAcentral.